Molecule: ribosomal RNA, 503 nt
Filed under: uncultured bacterium
Lineage: Bacteria
Description: partial 16S ribosomal RNA
Rfam family: Bacterial small subunit ribosomal RNA
Source: RNAcentral
UGGGGAAUAUUGCACAAUGGGGGCAACCCUGAUCCAGCAAUGCCGCGUGUGUGAAGAAGGUCUUCGGAUUGUAAAGCACUUUCGACGGGGACGAUGAUGACGGUACCCGUAGAAGAAGCCCCGGCUAACUUCGUGCCAGCAGCCGCGGUAAUACGAAGGGGGCUAGCGUUGCUCGGAAUGACUGGGCGUAAAGGGCGUGUAGGCGGUUUACACAGUCAGAUGUGAAAUCCCCGGGCUUAACCUGGGAGCUGCAUUUGAUACGUGUAGACUAGAGUGUGAGAGAGGGUUGUGGAAUUCCCAGUGUAGAGGUGAAAUUCGUAGAUAUUGGGAAGAACACCGGUGGCGAAGGCGGCAACCUGGCUCAUGACUGACGCUGAGGCGCGAAAGCGUGGGGAGCAAACAGGAUUAGAUACCCUGGUAGUCCACGCUGUAAACGAUGUGUGCUAGAUGUUGGGUAACUUUGUUAUUCAGUGUCGCAGUUAACGCGUUAAAGCACACCGCCU